GACGAACGCUGGCGGCGUGCUUAACACAUGCAAGUCGAGCGGUAAGGCCCUUUCGGGGGUACACGAGCGGCGAACGGGUGAGUAACACGUGGGUGACCUGCCCUCAGCUCUGGGAUAAGCCUGGGAAACCGGGUCUAAUACUGGAUAUGACUCCAUGACGCAUGUUGUGGGGUGGAAAGCCUUGUGCGGCUGAGGAUGGGCCCGCGGCCUAUCAGCUUGUUGGUGGGGUGANGGCCUACCAAGGCGACGACGGGUAGCCGGCCUGAGAGGGCGACCGGCCACACUGGGACUGAGACACGGCCCAGACUCCUACGGGAGGCAGCAGUGGGGAAUCUUGCGCAAUGGGCGAAAGCCUGACGCAGCGA
Molecule: ribosomal RNA, 365 nt
Filed under: uncultured bacterium
Lineage: Bacteria
Description: bacterial SSU rRNA
Rfam family: Bacterial small subunit ribosomal RNA
Source: RNAcentral